GCUGGGCGCUUCGAGCUCCGGCUGACACCCCCCCGCCGCCGCCCUCGGGCGCCCCCUGCCCGCAGCAGCCGUUCCCCUGCCCCGGCCGCCGCCGCCGCCGCCACCGCCUCCUUUCGGGGCGGGUCUGGACCCGCCUGUAGGCGUUUGCGGGGGAGAAAGUAACAUGGUGGCUGUUUCCUUCCCAAACAGGAGCGGAGGGGACUCCGGCUGCUCCUGAGGCCGCGGCAGGAGCGGGGAAAGGCUGCGGGCCGGGAGCGCCGCGACCGUUGGCGCGGGGAAGGGCGUCGGUGGCUUGGCGGCCGGAGGGCAGGCGGCAGGCUACUAUAUUUGACUUUGCUCCAACAGAGUUUCCAAUUACAGAAAGCGUUCUCUAACAAAGAAUGUUUCCAGGGCUGCAGAUGUUUCACUCAUUACAUAAUACUGAGCAUGGCUAACCUUUAAAGCUUGCAACUGGGGCAGCAACACAAGGAAUUGCACAUAAGGCAGGAAAACAGAACACAAGGAAAAUUCAGGGCAACGGAGAUCAAUAAUAUGUUUUGUAUAUGUCUUGCAAAACUAGUGAAUUAUUG
RNAcentral lists this long non-coding RNA (569 nucleotides) under Gallus gallus (chicken). Its description in RNAcentral is "long non-coding RNA NONGGAT011827". Lineage: Eukaryota; Metazoa; Chordata; Aves; Galliformes; Phasianidae. The record is from RNAcentral.